AAAUCUUGAAAAAAAAUGAAAGUUAUAUCAUGCAUGUGUCAAUAUAGAAAAAAACCAAAUCUUCUUCUCUCUCCUCCAUGGAUCUAGGAAAUUCAUCAUUUAUGAAUGAGGAUAAAACAUCAAAGUUGAGUCCAAAUGAUUAGAUAAUCUUGUUCUCCUACCUAAAUAACCUAACUUCAUCCAAAAGUUUGAGGUAAAUGGAGCUCCAAAUGGCUAAUCCAUACCUUGGAGGGAUCUAGAUCCAUCUAGAGGUAUAUGGAACUCCAUUUGAGCCUAAAACCUAUGCAAUAAGCUUCAAAAAGAUAAGUAAAUAGCAUGAACUUACCUCCUAUAAGCUCCAACUCCAAGGAAACCAAGUUGAAAACCUUC
Molecule: long non-coding RNA, 369 nt
Filed under: Setaria viridis
Lineage: Eukaryota; Viridiplantae; Streptophyta; Magnoliopsida; Poales; Poaceae
Description: long non-coding RNA (SVIR_LNC005397)
Source: RNAcentral